AGCCAGAAUGAACUGAAUCAGAAUGAAAUAGAUAAUAUCAACAACCUGGCCAUCAACUGGGACUUGCCAGCAGUCAGCAACAGCAACAGAAGGUGGUUGGCAGAAACCAUUCUCCACCAUGGGGUUAUUGGUCAACGUGAAAAACAGAUCUCUCAGCUGCGGAGAGGACUCAAAGAUACAGGUGUUUUGAAAAUGAUAAAAGAAUGACCCAGUUUAACUGCAGUACUGUUUCCCAGAUCUUCUGCACUGCUGAUGGAACCAGAGAUGAUACUUAGGAGAGUCAUCUGGCCAGAACC
Molecule: long non-coding RNA, 296 nt
Organism: Sinocyclocheilus anshuiensis
Lineage: Eukaryota; Metazoa; Chordata; Actinopteri; Cypriniformes; Cyprinidae
Exons: 3
Source: RefSeq, a predicted model, not a curated record